Molecule: long non-coding RNA, 960 nt
Filed under: Rattus norvegicus (Norway rat)
Lineage: Eukaryota; Metazoa; Chordata; Mammalia; Rodentia; Muridae
Description: long non-coding RNA NONRATT007867
Source: RNAcentral
GAGAGAAGGAAGGACCGCCUAGGUCCUGGUGUGUUGCCAGGCAGAAUGAGAAGCUCACACUUGGCCCGGUCUCUCUCCCUUGCCUUCAUAUCAAGGCCACACUCUCUGGGCCUUCAUUAGCACAAGAGGUGGCGUAAAUCUGUAUCUAACCCUGAAGUCAAAGGUAGGAGAGUUCAGGGGCUGAGGACGUAGCUCAGUUGAUAGAGUGCUUGCCUAGCAUGCAUGAAGUCCUGGGUUCCAUCCCAAACAAAGCAUAAAACCGAGCAUGCUAGUGCAUGCCUGUAAUUCCAGCACUCUGGAGGUAGAGGCAGGAGGACCGGAAGUUCAAGGUCAUCUUAGGCCACGUAGUGAGUUCGAAUCCAACCUGGGGUACAGGAGAACCUGUCUCAAAAGUGAGAGACUGGGAAUUCAGGUCAGAAGAUAAGAAAGAACACGGGUAGAAAGCAGCAGCGGAAUUUUUUUUUUUUUUUUAAGCAUGGGCCCAAACAAUGCAGUCAGAUGACCGAACAGGUCAAGGGCUACUGGGAGACAGGUCCAGGCUGCUGUCUGGGUUAUGGGCCAAACGAUAGCUCACGGUCACAAGCUAACUAACACGCGGUGCACUUCGGAGCCUGCCCAAGGGAUGCCUCCUUCCCAGGCUUUGACGGGGCAGGUUUGGUGGAGGCUUUCAGAACUGGGGUGGUAGAUUCCAGCCACAGCCCUCAGCCUGGAACAUGAUGUGAAUGAGGUGGUCCCCCCUCCAGCCCUCUUCUGCGGCACCCAGCCCCGCCCACCCCCCUGCUGGGGCCCUCAGGGAUCUCGAAGUCUUCCUUGGCCCAACAGGACAGAUGCCCUGGGCUCUGGUGGGGGGAGGAGUCUGGGGUCUGAUCCGGGGUCCCACCUUCUCUCAGUUUCCCCUUCCCUCUUUCUCCGCAGUGCGGGAAAACAUUUGGACUGUAAUAAAUACACUAGGUGCCCGGG